RNAcentral lists this ribosomal RNA (511 nucleotides) under uncultured bacterium. Its description in RNAcentral is "bacterial SSU rRNA". It matches the Rfam family "Bacterial small subunit ribosomal RNA", at positions 17 to 518 of the family's 1533-position model. The record is from RNAcentral.
UCCUGGCUCAGAUUGAACGCUGGCGGCAGGCCUAACACAUGCAAGUCGAACGGUAACAGGAAGCAGCUUGCUGCUUGCUGACGAGUGGCGGACGGGUGAGUAAUGUCUGGGAAACUGCCCGAUGGAGGGGGAUAACUACUGGAAACGGUAGCUAAUACCGCAUAAUGUCGCAAGACCAAAGAGGGGGACCUUCGGGCCUCUUGCCAUCGGAUGUGCCCAGAUGGGAUUAGCUUGUUGGUGAGGUAACGGCUCACCAAGGCGACGAUCCCUAGCUGGUCUGAGAGGAUGACCAGCCACACUGGAACUGAGACACGGUCCAGACUCCUACGGGAGGCAGCAGUGGGGAAUAUUGCACAAUGGGCGCAAGCCUGAUGCAGCCAUGCCGCGUGUAUGAAGAAGGCCUUCGGGUUGUAAAGUACUUUCAGCGGGGAGGAAGGGGUUAAGGUUAAUAACCUUAGCCAUUGACGUUACCCGCAGAAGAAGCACCGGCUAACUCCGUGCCAGCCGCAGC